UGGGGAAUUUUGGACAAUGGGCGAAAGCCUGAUCCAGCAAUGCCGCGUGCAGGAUGAAGGCCUUCGGGUUGUAAACUGCUUUUGUACGGAACGAAAAAGCUCCUUCUAAUACAGGGGGCCCAUGACGGUACCGUAAGAAUAAGCACCGGCUAACUACGUGCCAGCAGCCGCGGUAAUACGUAGGGUGCGAGCGUUAAUCGGAAUUACUGGGCGUAAAGCGUGCGCAGGCGGUUAUGUAAGACAGAUGUGAAAUCCCCGGGCUCAACCUGGGAACUGCAUUUGUGACUGCAUGGCUAGAGUACGGUAGAGGGGGAUGGAAUUCCGCGUGUAGCAGUGAAAUGCGUAGAUAUGCGGAGGAACACCGAUGGCGAAGGCAAUCCCCUGGACCUGUACUGACGCUCAUGCACGAAAGCGUGGGGAGCAAACAGGAUUAGAUACCCCAGUAGUCCCUGAGCGGGCUGGCAAGGCGCAU
This 472-nucleotide ribosomal RNA is filed under the name uncultured bacterium. RNAcentral's name for it is "bacterial SSU rRNA". It matches the Rfam family "Bacterial small subunit ribosomal RNA", at positions 355 to 825 of the family's 1533-position model. The record is from RNAcentral.